Small nucleolar RNA from Macadamia integrifolia, 71 nucleotides. RefSeq annotates it as small nucleolar RNA snoR60. The transcript has a single exon. NCBI's taxonomy places the organism in Eukaryota, Viridiplantae, Streptophyta, Magnoliopsida, Proteales, Proteaceae. The record is from RefSeq and is a predicted model, not a curated record.
AAGCGGAUGAUGAGUUUCUCGGAUUCCCCUUCAAGACAUUUUGGGUGAUGUAGUCUCGAGUUACUGACGCU